This 330-nucleotide unclassified non-coding RNA is filed under the name soil metagenome. RNAcentral describes it as "partial contains 5.8S ribosomal RNA, internal transcribed spacer 2, and large subunit ribosomal RNA". The stretch from base 1 to 120 matches the Rfam family "5.8S ribosomal RNA", at positions 35 to 154 of the family's 154-position model. The record is from RNAcentral.
GAUGAAGAACGCAGUGAAAUGCGAUAAGUAGUGUGAAUUGCAGAAUUCAGUGAAUCAUCGAAUCUUUGAACGCACAUUGCGCCCCUUGGUAUUCCGAGGGGCAUGCCUGUUCGAGCGUCAUUAUAACCCCUCAAGCUUAGCUUGGUGUUGGGGCCUGCUGUAAUAGAGCAGCCCUUAAAAUCAGUGGCGGUGCCAUUAGGCUCUAAGCGUAGUAAUUCUUCUCGCUAUAGGGUUCUGGUGGAUGCUUGCCAUUAACCUCUAAUUUUCUAUGGUUGACCUCGGAUCAGGUAGGGAUACCCGCUGAACUUAAGCAUAUCAAUAAGCGGAGGA